CAGUCGCCGCGGGAAUACGUAGGUCCCGAGCGUUGUCCGGAUUUAUUGGGCGUAAAGCGAGCGCAGGCGGUUAGAUAAGUCUGAAGUUAAAGGCUGUGGCUUAACCAUAGUGCGCUUUGGAAACUGUUUAACUUGAGUGCAAGAGGGGUGAGUGGAAUUCCAUGUGUAGCGGUGAAAUGCGUAGAUAUAUGGAGGAACACCGGUGGCGAAAGCGGCUCUCUGGCUUGUAACUGACGCUGAGGCUCGAAAGCGUGGGGAGCAAACAGGAUUAGAUACCCCGGUAGUCCCUGUCUCUUAUACA
Molecule: ribosomal RNA, 301 nt
Filed under: uncultured bacterium
Lineage: Bacteria
Description: partial 16S ribosomal RNA
Rfam family: Bacterial small subunit ribosomal RNA
Source: RNAcentral